AUUGAACGCUGGCGGCAGGCCUAACACAUGCAAGUCGAACGCGUGGCGGACGGGUGUGUAAUGUCCGGGAAACUGCCUGAUGGAGGGGGAUAACUCCUGUAAACGGUAGUUCAAAUCCCACACCCUCAUAUGUGCCCCGAUGGGAGUAGCUGGUUGGUGGGGUAACGGCUCACCAAGGCGACGCUCCCUAGCUGGUCUGAGAGGAUGACCAGCCACACUGGAACUGAGACACGGUCCAGACUCCUACGGGAGGCAGCAGUGGGGAAUAUUGCACAAUGGGCGAAAGCCUGAUGCAGCCAUGCCGCGUGUAUGAAGAAGGCCUUCGGGUUGUAAAGUACUUUCAGCGGGGAGGCGUUACCCGCAGAAGAAGCACCGGCUAACUACGUGCCAGCAGCCGCGGUAAUAC
Molecule: ribosomal RNA, 406 nt
Filed under: uncultured bacterium
Lineage: Bacteria
Description: partial 16S ribosomal RNA
Rfam family: Bacterial small subunit ribosomal RNA
Source: RNAcentral